This 217-nucleotide long non-coding RNA is filed under the name Hordeum vulgare. Its description in RNAcentral is "long non-coding RNA (HVUL_LNC020451)". Lineage: Eukaryota; Viridiplantae; Streptophyta; Magnoliopsida; Poales; Poaceae. The record is from RNAcentral.
GAGCAAUGGCUUGGCGUGAGCUUGAUUUAUCUUCUUGUUGUUAUUUGGAGUAGUAGUGCUACCAGAGAGGACGUACGUGUGAGGGGCGGGAAAGAUCACAUGCCGGAUUGCCCGAAGAGCAUGGCGAUUUAAUUCCAGAUCGAGGGCGGAGGCUUGUCCGCCACACCCGGGUUGGACAGAGGGGGAGGCUCAGUCAAGCGGAGGAGAAAUGGGAUCC